RNAcentral lists this ribosomal RNA (1499 nucleotides) under metagenome. RNAcentral's name for it is "bacterial LSU rRNA". It matches the Rfam family "Bacterial large subunit ribosomal RNA", at positions 1383 to 2874 of the family's 2925-position model. The record is from RNAcentral.
GUCGGCCCCUAAGGCGAGGCAGAAAUGCGUAGUCGAUGGGAAACAGGUCAAUAUUCCUGUACCGCUCUAUGAUGCGAUGGGGGGACGGAGAAAGUUAGGCCAGCCAACUGUUGGAAUAGUUGGUUUAAGCAUGUAGGCGUGCCCGUUAGGCAAAUCCGGCGGGCUGAGCUGAGGUGUGAUGACGAGGUCUCUUUGAGACCGAAGUGGUUGAUACUCUGCUUCCAGGAAAAGCCUCUAAGCUUCAGUCAUAGAGUGACCGUACCGCAAACCGACACAGGUGGGCAGGUAGAAGAUACUAAGGCGCUUGAGAGAACUCAGGAGAAGGAACUCGGCAAAUUGAUACCGUAACUUCGGGAGAAGGUAUGCCUCGGUAGCUUGUAGGAGCACAUCCGAAGGGCGACGAGGCCGCAGAGAAUCGGUGGCUGCGACUGUUUAUUAAAAACACAGCACUCUGCAAACACGAAAGUGGACGUAUAGGGUGUGACGCCUGCCCGGUGCCGGAAGGUUAAGUGAUGGGGUGCAAGCUCUUGAUCGAAGCCCCGGUAAACGGCGGCCGUAACGAUAGCGGUCCUAAGGUAGCGUAAUUCCUUGUCGGGUAAGUUCCGACCUGCACGAAUGGCGUAACGAUGGCCACACUGUCUCCUCCUGAGACUCAGCGAAGUUGAAGUGUUUGUGAGGAUGCAAUCUCCCCGCGGCUAGACGGAAAGACCCCAUGAACCUUUACUGUAGCUUUGCAUUGGACUUUGACGGGACUUGUGUAGGAUAGGUGGGAGGCGAUGAGAUCGGGACGCCAGUUCCGAUGGAGCCGUCCUUGAAAUACCACCCUGGUGUCGUUGAGGUUCUAACCUAGGUCCAUCAUCUGGAUCGGGGACCGUGCAUGGUAGGCAGUUUGACUGGGGCGGUCUCCUCCCAAAAGGUAACGGAGGAGUACGAAGGUCUUCUAGGUACGGUCGGACAUCGUACUGAUAGUGCAAUGGCAAAAGAAGGCUUGACUGCGAGACCGACAAGUCGAGCAGGUGCGAAAGCAGGUCAUAGUGAUCCGGUGGUUCUGUAUGGAAGGGCCAUCGCUCAACGGAUAAAAGGUACUCUGGGGAUAACAGGCUGAUUCCGCCCAAGAGUUCACAUCGACGGCGGAGUUUGGCACCUCGAUGUCGGCUCAUCACAUCCUGGGGCUGUAGCCGGUCCCAAGGGUAUGGCUGUUCGCCAUUUAAAGUGGUACGUGAGCUGGGUUUAAAACGUCGUGAGACAGUUUGGUCCCUAUCUGCCGUGGGCGCUGGAUAUUUGAGGGGGCCUGCUCCUAGUACGAGAGGACCGGAGUGGACGGAUCUCUGGUGUACCGGUUGUGACGCCAGUCGCAUCGCCGGGUAGCUAAAUCCGGAAGAGAUAACCGCUGAAAGCAUCUAAGCGGGAAACUCGCCUCAAGAUGAGAUAUCCCUGGGAACUUGAUUCCCCUGAAGGGUCGUUGAAGACCACGACGUUGAUAGGUCGGGUGUGGAAGC